This 518-nucleotide ribosomal RNA is filed under the name Melanelixia glabroides. RNAcentral's name for it is "eukaryotic LSU rRNA". It matches the Rfam family "Eukaryotic large subunit ribosomal RNA", at positions 112 to 642 of the family's 3401-position model. Lineage: Eukaryota; Fungi; Ascomycota; Lecanoromycetes; Lecanorales; Parmeliaceae. The record is from RNAcentral.
AAUUUGAAAUCUGGCCCCUUCGGGGUCCGAGUUGUAAUUUGUAGAGAGUGCUUCGGGGGAGACCGCGGUCUAAGUCCAUUGGAACAUGGCGUCCCAGAGGGUGAGAAUCCCGUAUGUGACCGUGGCUCGAACCCAUGUGAAGCCUCUUCGACGAGUCGAGUUGUUUGGGAAUGCAGCUCAAAAUGGGUGGUAAAUUUCAUCUAAAGCUAAAUACGGGCUGGAGACCGAUAGCGCACAAGUAGAGUGAUCGAAAGAUGAAAAGCACUUUGGAAAGAGAGUCAAAAAGUACGUGAAAUUGUUGAAAGGGAAGCGCUGGCAACCAGACCUGCCCGUAGGCGAUCAGCCGCUGUUCUCAGCGAUGCACUCGCUCUGCGAUCAGGCCAGCAUCGGUUCCGGCGGUCGGAUAAAGGCCUUGGGAACGUACCUUCCCUUCGGGGGAGUCUUAUAGCCCUCGGUGCAAUGCGGCCAGCCGGGACCGAGGACCGCGCUUCGGCUAGGAUGCUGGCGUAAUGGUUGUC